This is a long non-coding RNA of Tetranychus urticae (two-spotted spider mite), 835 nucleotides long. RefSeq lists it as uncharacterized. Lineage: Eukaryota; Metazoa; Arthropoda; Arachnida; Trombidiformes; Tetranychidae. The record is from RefSeq and is a predicted model, not a curated record.
CAACAAUGCGGUAAGUUUGCUGUUGUAUUAAGUUUUUUAUUUGACUUGCUCUUAAUUAUUUUUGUUUAAUUUUCAAUUGAUUGCUUUAGUAAUUCUAUUACUGUUCUCUGUAUUGUUUGUGCAGUCAAAUUUUCACUCUGGAUGAGUCUUGACGAUACUUGUGAUCUUGCUUUCAAAACGCCUUUCACUGGUUAUGUGAUGAAGUAAAGGUAAUCUUCAAGUAAAGUUUCAACAAGAUUUGAUGUCAACUCUAUAGCCAUAUGCCUAAAAAGGUAAAAUUAAUGUGACAAUUUAUGUUAGCAAUUGUUUUGAUCAAACAUUUAAUGGAUUGACGAGAUUAAUGUCCGUGUUUUCAACUGUGCAAUGGCUCUUAUCAAUCUUCAAGUGAUCUGCAUUUCCAAUGCUGAACACAAGCCUCGAAAGGAUGGUGGUGAACUGUCAUAAUUUUCCAAUCAACAACCAACAGCCGGAUAAACAGCAUCGAGCAGUUUUUACAUGUAUUUGUAUGUCUUAUCCUGAAAAUUCAGUAGUGAACAGAGCCCAGCAAAAUUGAAGCAAAAUGAAAAUGACUUUAAAAGAUUCACUUAAUCAACUUACUCCUGCUUCACCAUCCAUUUGGAUACGAAUGGGUAAACGUUUUGCCUCUCCAUCUUCACUUGGAAGUCCAGUUAAAGGUUCAUAGUAAGGACUAUCUCGAGAUUCAGAGCCCUUAAUAAAUACAAGGAAUUAAUUGACGUUUAUGCAAUCAAGUCUGGUUGAUUAGAUUGUCUUCAGGCUGAUACUUACUUGAUAUCCUCUGCAAUUACAACGAGCUCCUGUCUGUACAUAAGCUGAA